CACUCACGCAGGCUCUAAAAUUGG
This 24-nucleotide non-coding RNA is filed under the name Cricetulus griseus (Chinese hamster). The record is from RNAcentral. Lineage: Eukaryota; Metazoa; Chordata; Mammalia; Rodentia; Cricetidae.